GUCCACGCUGUAAACUAUAGAUACUCGCUGUAGCUGGUAAUCAUUCCGGCUGUGGCUUAGCUAACGCGAUAAGUAUCUCGCCUGGGAAGUACGGUCGCAAGAUUAAAAACUCAAAGGAAUUGACGGGGGGCCCGCACAAGCGGUGGAUUAUGUGGUUUAAUUCGAAGCAACGCGCAAAAACCUUACCUGGCCUUGACUUGCCCAUGACCGGUGCAGAAAUGCACCUUCCCUUCGGGGCAUGGGACACAGGUGCUGCAUGGCUGUCGU
This 267-nucleotide ribosomal RNA is filed under the name uncultured bacterium. RNAcentral's name for it is "partial 16S ribosomal RNA". It matches the Rfam family "Bacterial small subunit ribosomal RNA", at positions 793 to 1055 of the family's 1533-position model. The record is from RNAcentral.